AACGAAGCACCAGUGCUGGGGAGCUCUCUGAAUGUCAUCACCAGCAAGAGCAAGAAGUAUUGGCAGCAGCAGGCAGCCAGGCAGGCUGGGAGUUUGCAUGGAAAUCAUGAAGUCUUUCUUGUCUUCCUCUUUUGAAAUAUUUUGGAAGGCGAGUUAAGAAUAGCUCAGAAACUGGUCUCAUUCUUUUUGUGGGAAGAAUGACCAGAAGCAUAAAAGCUAAGUCUUCCAGCAAGUGCAAGACACCUCUUUUGGUGUUUGCAGUAAACCUAACAAGAAUGAAUUGCUAUCAGUAAAGUCCUGUACCAUGACACCUAAAAGGAAGGAAAUGGUAAAGCAAAGUAAUAACUCAAAGACAGUCACCGAGGGCUUUUGUCCACCUUUAACUCAUUGUGGAACUUGACAUCAUCAGACAGUAAAUCAAGAGGUACUGACAACUGAGACUGAGUGAUGGUCCCUGCCUAGGAUUUGGAAUCUUUGCAUGAAAUAGGGACUCUAGCCACCAGCGACAAAGAAGUCAGGGAGACUGCGGUCUCUAGGAAGCACUUCCAGGAAACAGGAAUUCAGGCAAAGUUGGACAUUCCAAAGAUGGCGUAGAUGAACAUGACCAGGAAGAGCAGGAGGCCGAUGUUAAACAACGCAGGAAGGGACAUCAUCAAAGCAAAGAGCAGCGUGCGGAUCCCCUUUGCUCCUUUGACUAGACGUAGGAUUCGGCCAAUCCUGGCAAGACGGAUCACUCGGAACAGGGUAGCAGAGAUCUCUGGAGGUGAAACAUUGCUCUGAACUGGCAUUGAUUCUAGCCCAGCUCUUGUAGACCAAUUACCAACUUCUCCAUCUCCCUCCAGUGCCUGGAACUGGACCUGGCACACAGGCAAAGGGUUAUCAACUGUGCUGCACUCUGAGGAGCUUGACCGGUUUAAUCUCUAGAAAGGAAUUCACCACCCCACCAGCACGCGGAACACAAUCAGGAAGGAGUGGAAGAAGUCGUUCAUGUGCCACCGUGGGAGCGUACAGUCAUCAUUGAUCUUGCAGACACAUUCUUUGUAGCUCUUACCAAAGAGCUGCAUGCCGACCACAGCAAAAAUGAAGACGAUGAUGGCCAACACUAAGCCUUUAGACUAAAAAGAAAACAAAUAUUACAUACCCUGAAUCUGUGCUGAAACCACAAAGGAGAGCAUCUUUGGAUCCUUCCAAGUAAUAAAAAUAUUCUGUUGAAGAAGAAUUUGAACAGUUAUAACAUCACAGACUUUAAUCUGUGAUUGUGAUAAAGGAGGUCAAAUUAAAAAAUCUGAUUAUUGGGAGACUUUUGGAGUAAUCAUGGAAGAAAGACUAUGAAAUCAGAUAUUCUUGGAUUUGAAUGUUGCUUCUAUCCCUUCUUAAGUGGCGUAAUACAGGGUUCCAGAACCGAGAUGUGAAAAUAGACACAGGCUGGAGUGCAGCGGCAUGAUCGCAUCUCACUGCAGCCUCAACCUCCUGGGUUCAAGUGAUUCUCCCAUCUCGCCUCCUGAGUAACUGGGACCACAGAAGGUCCCUGCUUCCCUUUCACCUUCUGCCAUGAUAGUAAGUUUCCUGAGGCCUCCCCAGCCAUGCAGAACUAGACAGGAUCUCCCUGUGUUGCCUAGGCUAGUCUUGAACUCCUGGACACAAGUGAUCCUCACACCUUGGCCUUCCAAGUGCUGAGAUUAUAGGCAUGAGCCACAGUGCCUAGCCAACAACUCUUAGAGGAACAGGAUUUCACCAGUCACCCAGACUCGCCUCGAACUCCUGACCUCAAGGGAUCCGCCUGCCUUGGCCUCACAAAGUGCUGGAAUUACAGGAGUAUUCAUCAUCAUAUUCUGUAUUAGUCCAUUUUCAUCCUGCUGAUAAAGACAUAACCGAAACUGGGUAUUUAUAAAGAAAAAGAGGUUUAAUAGACACACAGUUCCACGUGGCUGGGGAGGCCUCACAAUCAUGGCAGAAGGCACUUCUUACGUGGUGACGACAAGAGAGAAUUUGUGAAGGGAAACUCCCCCUUAUAAAACCAUCAGAUCUCGUGAGACUCACUACCAGGAGAACAGCAUGGAAAAGACCCACCCCCAUGAUUCAAUUACCUCGCACUAGUUCCUUCCCAAGACAUGUGGGAACUGUGGGAGCUACAUUCAAGAUGAGAUUUGGGUGAGGACACAGCCAAAUCAUAUCAAAUUCCAUGCUUCAACAAUGUUGUUGGAACAAAAGGGAUUUGUCUGAAGGUUCAGCCAUCCAUAUAUUCUUGUAACUUUUGGACACCCUCAAAAAUAUAUAUCUGAACCAGAUCUCCAGAGAUGUGCAAACUGAGACCCAAUUGACACAUUUACCUUUGCUAAAUUUCUAGGCCAUUGGCAUUAAGGGAUGUCAUCACAAGCAUCAGCCUCAUGGGAUCUGGAGAAGGAAGAGGAGGGCGAUAGCCGAAAUGAUGGCCACUGGCUCAUUGUAGCUUUAAAUGAUCUACUCUACAGGUUUUUGGAAGUCACCUUUAUCAUAUAUAUUUGGAAAAUCAUCUGUGUCAUCAGGUUGGGUUGGCAAGAACAUUGGAGUUCUCAGGAAUUGAAAACAUAAUGACUCCCUUUGACUAAUUUAUUUUCUUUAACAUUAUUCCCGCAAUCACUUGACUUUCUAUCCUAUUUUUCAGUGAUUUUACUUUGAAAUAUGACGGGUAAUGAGCUGUAAAAUAAUGAGAUAUCAUCUUCUCUGUCCUACAUUUAAAUUUGGAAUUUCUAUAUCUGAACAAGUAUGUUUAGAGUCAGUAUUAAAGAACAUCCAUUUUUAGAAAGAAUUUGAAACAACUCUAUGAAGGGAUAAAACAUACUAUUGUGUCUUAAAAGGCUAGGCUUCAGAGACAGGUGAAGUUUGUUAAUUGUGUUAUCCUGAGAGUUAUUUGAACACUCUGGGCCCUAGCUCUCUCAUCAUAGGAAUAAUAACACCUGCCUUGUAUGAGUCUGUGAGGAUUAAAUAAAACUGUAUUUAUAUAAAGACCUUAACACUGAGCUUGGCACAUAAUUCUUACCCUCAUACUACACUACCCUGAUUAUUGCAGCUUUCUGGUUGUUUUUCAAACCAGGUAAUAAAAGUUCUCCAAGUUUGUUACUCUUAUUCAAAUUUAUCUAGGCUAUUCUAGGAUCUUUGCAUUUCCAUAUAAAUUUUAUAAUUGGUUUGAUGAUAUCUAC
Molecule: long non-coding RNA, 3179 nt
Organism: Homo sapiens (human)
Lineage: Eukaryota; Metazoa; Chordata; Mammalia; Primates; Hominidae
Gene: SCN1A-AS1
Product: SCN1A and SCN9A antisense RNA 1
Source: Ensembl